Long non-coding RNA from Columba livia (rock pigeon), 11730 nucleotides. RefSeq lists it as uncharacterized. The record is from RefSeq and is a predicted model, not a curated record. NCBI's taxonomy places the organism in Eukaryota, Metazoa, Chordata, Aves, Columbiformes, Columbidae. The transcript is spliced from 14 exons.
ACGGGCUGCAUUCAGAAGUGUUACGAUGCAGGAUGUGAUGAAUGUGAUGAAAUGCCAGGACUUGAUGGUUCAGCAGCUCUGAGCAGGGCAGCCCAUGGGAUUUGGGAAGGCUUUCCAGUAGCUGCCAUCUUUAAGUGAAAUAAGUUGGGCUUUAUGCUAAGAAAGAAGAAACCUUGAGAAAAUAUAAUAGAAGGCAACUGCUGUUUUCUCCUAGUGGACUGAAAACCAAGCCAAUGUAGGAUAUCAUAGACCUGCUAAUGAAGAUGUUAUCUCUGGAAACUUUCUGCAUUACUCAGCAUUAAUUCCAUCCAGCUGCUAAGUAGUGAUGUCCUUGGUUACCAAGAUAAUUCUCUGAACAGCUGCAACAGUGCUGGGAAAUGCCACCUGCAAUUGGAAGACAAGAUCAAGUUCUGAGAAGAGAUUUUUUUUUUAUUUUUAUUUUAUUAGUUUACAAUAAGCUGUCCCCUCUUUGGCAACAAACAAAUGAACUCGGAGACUUUUAUCAGCUGUUUAGCUGGCAUGUGUUUGCCUGCCUAGUUUUGAAAUUAGGGUCAUGCUUCCUAAUAGGUAAGUACAGAACCACAAGCAAACAGAAGCUGCCUUGCAGGGAGCACUUUUAAACAUACGUGCUGCAUUUAGGUACAUUGGAUAUUUAAAGUAUAAUAAAAUAAAGACUGCUACCAGUACCAUCUACAAGAUAAAAAUUGAGACUUCAAUAAUGCUAAUUAUGUGCAGACAAACUGACAGAAUAUCCUGCUAAAUGAACAAGUAGGUGUCCACCUCAGUGACUGAAUAGUUAAUUGUCUUAAUCGCAGAUGGAGUAAUUGCACAAAUGUAUUUGUGUAGUACUGUAAGAGCCUGUUUCAUGCAUAAUAACUGGGCCUAAAUAUGUCCUCUGUUUGGUUUCCACGAUCUCAAUACAGACUGCAGCAACAGUCAGCAGUACUGGGUAAGUCCUCUAGCUGUAGCCUCUCGCUCCCGUCCAUUUUAGACUGUCAUUGCAGUUUUGUUUGAAAGAAUCCAGGUGGCUAUUGCUUGUCAGUCUUGCGUAUCAUAGUUUUAAGCUAUUAGUUAAGAAGAUGCCAGAGCUAGAAGGGUCUUCUACAGCAAAAAUGUAAUCAAGUUCACCUCAGCUGAUUUCCAUCUGAAACAAAGAAAAAACCCACCAGAGACUCAAGCAGGACAGUUCUAAGAGCCUUCAAAGUAAAAUUUUUUGCUCUAUCUGGAUAGUCACAAAAAUGCCUGAGAUGUUGAGUCUUGGUUUCUGAUUAAAUUCUCUAGCAUUGGGUAAAAUAAAUCUAUCCUUUUAAAGUUAGAAGUAUAUGUAUAUAAAAUUACAUGUAAAUCAAACAGUUUUGCCUUAGUGAAGCUAGGUUAGAAACAUUCUCUAGAAGCACAAACCACAGGAACAGAAGCUGAAAAAAGCAUUCGUUGAAAUUCAUGCCUCCGGAUUUUAUACAUUUAUAUUAAAAGUGUGUUGUGCUCUUUCAAACUGGUGAGCUAAAGUCUUUCCUUUGCAAAGAUGAUCCACUCUCUGCCCCCACAACUUACAACCCUUAAUUUAAAGUAAAAACCACCUGCUUCUCAUGGUUACUUUUUAAUUACCUUGAGUCCCUAAUUCUGGUAUGAAAAAAGUGUGAGGUCAGUUGUAUCCUGAAAAAAUGCUGGUUUGUGAGCUAGAAUUGGAGUCAGAGCUCAGGUAUUGAUCUCAGAAAAAAAAAUUACAGAGGAUUGUAGGGAUUUUGCUCUGACAAGAAAGAAUGACUUUUAAGCCUCCAAAGAUGCAAAAUUCUUUCAGCGACAUGCGUUAGUGAUAAUCAGUGUGUGUUGCUAUGGUUCAGUAGAAGUCAGCACUGAACUUCACAAAACUCUUUCAACCUUUCCUCUCUAACUGUAUAAAUGUGAAAGUAACAAUAAAUCUUGUUGACAAUUACUUCCACAUCUAUUGGCAGUCAGUCAGCUGCAAUGUGAACAGCAUUGUGCACAAUAUGUGCAGCACAGCCAACACCCAUUAACUAUCUCCCUAGUUUCUCCUGUGACUCAGAGAACAUGUUAUUUUUCCCCAGUGAGCAGGCCUUUCAGAUGGUGAAUUAGUAAUAUUAGCACCAAAUACUACUAAUUUGUCAGCCAGGCUGUGUUUUCCCAAAGUGUUCACAAUGGGGUCUGAUAACUGCUUUGUAGUGCAGCAGGUCAAAGAUGAGAAUUCAAAAGGUUUUGCAAAUCAUUUGUGUAAAACGUAAAGAAGUGGUGUAAAAUACAUUUUUUUAUCAUUAGAAUAGUCAGUAUGUGUCUUAAAAAAAAAAAAAAAAAGGUGAAUUUUCAACCCUAUUCAGCAACAAACUUAAAUGCAUGCUAAUAGAGAAGCAUAUACAUAAGUUAAUUGAAGAAACAGAGCUAGAAAGAUUUCUAACAAUAUGAAAUACUUGUUAAAAGAGGGUAUUGUCAGAACCUCUGUAUUUUCAGAUAUUACUGGCUAGCUUAAAUAAUAUUUAUGAAGAAGAAGAAAAAGUUCUCUGCUAUAAAUGACAAAUUUCUAUUGUAUAUCAUGCAUUCAUUGCUUGCAUAAAAUUCUCAUUGACAUCGAUAUGAAGUCUGAGCAAAUAAUUGUGAAGCAUAUGAAACUGAAAAGCACAAAUGGAUCAGGGUUGAUAGUCUUAUUUUUCUAAUCAGUUUUCCCAUGCAAUUCUUACAGGCAAAUGCACAUACACACUUAUAUGUGAAACCAUAAACAUAUAGAUAGAUGACCUGUAUCUAAUUUUCAUAAAUACAUAGCUAUCUACCAUCAGUAAAAACAUGACAUUCAAUAGACAACAGAGAUUUGCUGUGGACAACUGAAAAACUAAUUCAGCUUCUCUUCUUUCAUGAAAUUGUUUAUUUUCAAUUCAUGCUUAGUCUAAUACAGCAUAUGAAUGAUAUUUAAGUAGGGGUUGUUACAGCUAAAGCUGUCUGUAGUUUUCCCCAUUGCAAGAUUCACAACAGGCCAGCAUUAAGCUGACUGAUUUAGUAGGAGGGAAAGGGAACCACUUUGGUGGCCAGGGAGGAUGCAUAGGAAGUCUUUGCCAGAACAGCCUACAAGUUGGAAGGAAGCUUGUGAAUUAUGUGUGAUUAUCCACGGAGUUUUGUCCACAUCUGCAUAGCACUACUUUUUAAAGCGGGAGGAUGUAAUCUAACUGCAGACUGGAUGGUGCUACAGGAAUUCUGAUGGCUGGGAAGGGCCACAGCAUUAGAGACUGGACUCUGUCUUCUGUGACUGCCAGUCAUUUCUCAGCUGGAAUAAUGAAUCUUUUCCAAUUUCUAAAGGAGUCAGAGAAGUCCACAAUCUCUCUUGUCUGCAACUUGAAUGUCCUUCCUAGGUUUUCAGCUGAGUCAUUUGUGGAUUUUGAUACAAUUUUGGGAUUACUUUCUGUGUCGCUUUUCUGUGCUCUGAAAGUUGUAUUAUAGGAAAACUCCCGAUGUAGGAAAAACUGUAUUUCAUUCUUGGUGUACCAAUGCUGGAUGAAAAAAAGGAAAAACAAAAACGAAAAAAUACACUGGGAGUGAGACUGUUGGGUAGGUUCUGUCCUGGGAAUUAUCACUAAUUUACUUGAUUCUAGGCCAAUCACUGGCAAACAUUUUCAGUGCUUUAUACACUGGAUAUCUAAGUCCCUUUUAGACAACUGACCUGAUUAACACCUACAGUUCUCCACAAAAUAGUGCCUUAGGCAGUUAUUUACAGAUUUGAUAAUUUUGAGAGAAGAUUCUAGAAUCCAGGGUUUCUGGAAAUAAAAUGAAUUUCAUUACUCUCUAAAGUAUGUUCGAAGGUGCUUAACAACUAGUUUCCAGUUUUGUCAUCACCCUUUCUGGACCCAUUGUGUACAUUGCAAAACAAACCCAUGUUUGACUUAGAGUUUUCUGGCAUGGUUAGCCAAUAGUUUUCAAACUCUGUAAGAUCCUUCCAUGGAAAUUUCUGCAUAACAGAAAUGUCUGCCUCUUGGAGCGUAUACUAGAUACUACCUCUUUCUUUUAUUUUGCUUGAAUUUGGAUAAAAGUAGUUAAUGGAAUUAUCCAGCACUAGUAGAGCUGACGCGAUGAUAUUGGUUGUAAAAACUGCCCCUGUGUAAGAACAUUGUUUUUUUUAUUGAAAUGAGUCUUUUGUUUUAUGCUUCGCAAUUGCCCUGUGUUUUAAUUCCCUCAUAAGGAUCCUUUAAAAAAAAAAGGUGUUGGGGUCGGGUAGGAAAAGAAGGAAAAUAGAAAAGUAUAUGUUGUAGAUGUUAUAUUCACAUAUUUUUUUUCCCACAAAGAAAAGGAAACUGCUAGAAGUGUUGAUUUGUUUAAAGCCUUUUAACAAUUGGAGAUUAUUGAAAUACUAAAUUACUGGCACACAAGAGAACUAGAUGAUUGUUGUUCCACAUUUACAACACAAACCAAAUAAUGGAUUGGAAAAAACAACAGCAGCAAAUAUUUUGAGUCUUAAUUAUCAGGCUGAAAAGACUGAUGAACAAAAGAGAGAAGUGGGGAAUGUGUAGUAUAGUGAAUUGAAGGACAAAUACGUUAAAAAAAAUUUAAAGCCUUUGUCAGGCUCAAAAAAGAGAAACAGACUUAAUUAUUAUUUUCUCUUUAUUCCAUUUUGGGAGCUUUAUCUGAAACUAUAACUUAGAAAGAGCAAUUAUAAACAAAUGGCACCCAGCAUGAAUACUUCACUGAGGUUUGAUCAUCUCAUCCUUGUCUCUUACAUCAGCACAAUGAUGUGUUGCCCAUUGGAAAACAGCACGACCAGGAGUGUAGAAGAGAAGCCAUGCAGUGAUUUAAACCUAUAGCUUCAUUUAUAUGCUCCAUAUGGAAUUGCAACCUGGACAAUAGUAUCAAUCUAUUAAAAUGAAGAGUUUAUUCUAAUGGAACCUGGCUAGAUUAGUUAAAAUAUUCUGCAGUUCAUGGAGAACAACAGAGAAUAUGGAAAUAAUUUCCUAGAAUAAUCCAGAGAAUUACUUUAUGUUUCUGAUAUAGAUCGCUGGGGAAAUAAUUUAAAAGCAUUUUUAAAUAUCUUCCAUUUUCUAUUAUGAGCCUUUGGAUCUCCACAGUUUGAAAGAAGUGAGACAUUGUGGCUUAGAAAACUAAUUACAAAACAUAAAAAUGCUCAAGUCUAAUGGAACAAAUCAGACAGAAAAAAGAUUUCCUUACAGAAAGAUCAAUGUUGGAAUGGAAGCUACAGUUUUUACGUAAGUGUCUUCCUCUCAACAUCUUUGUUAUACAUUCUCUUUGUUCCUGUUAGCUAACUAAUUAGCUAUGGUGUUUUGUUGUGGGUUGGUUUUUUUAAUGCCCCUUACACUGGGUUAAUUUUGUCUAACUCAACAGCAGGGGUUUGUGUAAUAAUAAUUCACAUAGCAAUGUCAAUGAUUAAAAUCCUUUCAUUAACAUGGUACCUUAAAGAUAAUGAAUGUGAAGCUUUUAGCUAACCCAAUCUCUAGGCUCAGAAAGGCAGUUUUUGCAGAAAAUAAAAUAGAAAAAAAAAAUCCUUGUACAGAUUAGCUUUUGCCAGCAGAACAAAUGAGAUCUUUGUUUGGGUGUGUUACAAAUACAAAGUCAUACAAAUCAAAGAGCAUUUAUUAUGAAUACAAUGAUGUAGCAUGCUUCUUUUGACAAAAGAAUUCUAAUAAUGCACUUGAAGAAUGCAAAACAGGCAUUCAGAAGUGCUAAUUUUCUGGCGGUUUUUGUAGACGGCACUGUCAAGGCACAGAUAAUCAACCGCGGGGUCAGAGUGCCUUGAGCUGAAUGUUGUCAGGGAUGUGGCGGAAGGUGCUUUGGGCUGGAUACGUCAUUUCUCUUCGGCCACUUCAAGAAUUUUAAACAGGUUUAUCUGUCAGGAUACAAGAAGUGUGGUUCAGUAAUUAGGGACACAAGACGAAAUACCGUUUUGGAAAAUUUUAAUAACUGCUAGGACGACUGUUCUACUGAAUUUGCUGUCUUUUCUAAAAAAUACAUUUCCACUUACAUUCUAAUGGCUUUUGCAUUUCAUUUUUACCAAAUGCAAAAGAUGUUUGCUGGAUGAAUUAAUCCACAUACAAACAGUAUAACUAAUAAAGAAAGGUGCCUUAGCAACAGCAGCAGAGUAACAUCAAGAAGACCAGUAACUCUCAUUCAAAUCAGUCACAGCAUUCUCCUCUUAAUAUACUGUGCUCUCAUUUCUAUAAGUCAAAUCUUGGUUUUGAAAACUAAUAUAUACUGUAUCUAUAUUUCCUACCGUCCCAUUGUACUAUAUAUAUGGAUUUUUUUUUAAUGUCAAAUAUAAUUGAUACAAUAGCCAACUCAUUUACAUGAAUAAAUUCUGUCUUAAACAGUUUUAUUUAAAGACUAAGAAAAAACUGUUCUUGACACCAUUUUUCCUAGUUAAGAUAAUAGGGUUUUUGUACAUUUUAAGCUAUUUUUCCCAGUUCAAUGGAAACAUUUAAAUCUCCAGUUAAGGGAUCAUGCUGCGAGGACUCAAGCAAAUGUGUGCCUUUAUUUAUGUAGAUGCUGCCACUGAAGUCAGCUGUGUGCUCGCUAAGCCUUUACUCUAUUAAGGUUUUUAGCAAAUGAUCAACAUGAACAGAAUUCCUCAACAAACAAGCUCAGCUGACAUUUUCAGUGGGGUGAGAGCCAAAUAGAUCUUCCAGAUUGUCUCUUUGCUGUGUCAUUCACUCAAGUAAGUAAUUCAAGGAGGAGGUCAGUGAAUGGGUAGUUAGUGGGAACACUUACUGCAGCUGUAGCUUCUCUGUGAUUUUCCUGUGGAUGAUUUCAUAUAUUUUUGUCUUUAGUGCAUUGCUGUUCCCAUUGCUCUCAUAAGCACAAAUAAUUGCUUCCAUUUUUUAAAGGAAAGAAAGCAGAAGAUAGCCCCCUAGAAAGCUGAGUCACUAAGCUGGCUACUAAAAUUAGUAUGACUAAGUAAAAGUUUCAUCUGUCAAGACAAAGCUUCGGGGUUUGAUUUGCCCAGCAAGAUGCAGAAUCUGUGGAAAUUCUUAAUCUCGUAUAUGUAAACCGAAAUGGACUGUAUCUUAUUAUUUUUCCUCAUAUUUUGGCUUACAGGCAAUAAUAACCUGGUAAAUUUGGUUCAGCUGAGCAGAGUUCUACACGCUAUGUAACUUGCCUUAUAGCUCUUCUCUUUGAAAGACCCUGCACUGAUAUAUAUGGAUUCUUAUUUCCCAGAAUGCCUCACAGCCUGAAAAAUUGAGAAGAAAAUCCUUGUUCUUGAAGUAAAAUCAUGCUGCAAAAUACAGAGCGGCUGCAGUUUCUUUGAGCCCCACAAGUGAGUUCUGUUGCUAACUGGGCAUUUUCAGCACUCUGCAACUUCCACGCAUAUGACAAAACAGAGCACGAUGCUGGGACUUGCGUAGUGAUGUGGCAUCACACUGCCACCAGAGAAAAGUUUUAGAAGUAUUUUUGGAUCUCUUGAGUAUUCACGAAAAAAGAAAUGCUUGACAGACUCCUUGCUCCUUUUCCAGGGAUGUCCUCUCAGCAGGAAAAAUGGUUGCGUGUAACAGAAAGGUGAAAUUCCAAGAUGGAAACCCCCCACUUUCCAACACGGGGAAGGACGUUUAUCAGGGAUUCAUGAAGUCAUUCCUUUGUGAAUCUAACAUCUCAUUUGAUGAACAUGCAGUCUGCUAGCAUAUGUGCAACAGUGCUGAAGUUCAUCAGACCCAGCAGUUCUGGGCUUCUCCAAAGCAGAGAAAAACAUGAAGAAACGCAGUUUGCAAACGUAUAUUUUCAGCCUCACCAUGCAGGGGGCCAUACAUUCCAGCUGGCAACACAUUAGCUUCCGAUUUGAAAGCCGUGAGCUUUGUUCCGGCUCAGUUCUUAAUUAACUGCAUGUCCUGAGGUAUAUAGGCAGCACUGUAAAAUCUCAAUGGAAAACCUCUCUGAGAGGCAGUAUUGACAAAUACUCUUCUACAGAGGCAGAUGUCCACUCCUAAUACCUUCAUCUACCAUGCCUCGAAUGCUGAAUGGGAUCCUCCGUUAUACACCGUUCCCAGCCUCAUUCCAAACCUGAAAGAAGAGAUGCUCUGGUCUGGCUUAGGCAAGCAAUAUUUCAGCAAUUACAGAUGACAGAGACAAUUUCAAGGCAAAUCAGGCCUAUCCUAAAUCAAAAUGGAUGGAUAUGGCAAGAGCACACUUCCAACACGUAACAAGAAAGAUCCUUCAGCACAAAACCUGGAUCUGUUGCUCAGAUAAGACAAGGAGCAUGUGUAGCAGCAGUUGAUGCGGGUUUGCUGCUGGCCAAACUCUGCCUGUUGGAACAGGUCCUCAGCUGUAUCUCCUGGCAGAACACUUCUCUUCGAAAAACACUCUUACGUGCAUUAAGUGAGUGGAGGACUCCCUAGCAAUAUCAAGAAAAUAAAUGGUUAAGCAAGUAGCAAGUUGAUCACAAUGGAAAAUGUACAAGAAUCAAGAAGAGACAAAAAGGCUCCUCGGGGUGCAUAGUUGUCCCUUUUACCCAUUAAAAACCCUCAUCCAGCUGUGUGGGCAUGGUGAGGUGUGCCAGGGUGAGCCUGGAUGGUGUAUGAUUCCUUCUGCUCUGCAUUCUUCUGGUUGGGGCAGUCACAUUUUGCAAAAUGCUCGUUGGAAAGUAAGAGGAGAUAGUCCUUCCACAGCAAAUUGAGCUGCAGCAUUUGAUAGCUUGUCUUCAACCUUGGGAUGUCACAACAGUGCUAAUCUGCAGGAGCCAGGGACAACCAGAUGGAAGCACGAGCUCCUCUAAAGACAAAUGGCUUGUCAGCGGCCAAUUGCAGAGUUUGAAUUGUUUCAACAGCGGGAAGUCUUACCCGAAUAUUCUUCUGAAAUCCAGACUUUUUCAAAAUGCAUCGAUCUAUUUUCCAAAUGGACUUGAUAUAUUCGGAUUCAUUAGCAGGUAACAGAACUGAUAAUGACUUUUGAAUGAAAUGCUGUUGUUCUCAUGCACACAGCUACAGCAGCCACGCAUGAAACCGUGGCCUCUGUAGUGACAGGGCAUUAAUAUUAGAAUCCUUUAGAAGAUGACAGUUUUGGAAGUUGUGACAAAUGAAGGCCUUGGCAUUAUCUUUGAGUGUCCUUGGUUGAGAGGGACAAAAGAGGCUUGGGAAUCAAGACAACCAAGACGUCAGACUUCCCAUUUUGCCACUGAUGUGUAGAGAACGUGUUGGGCAUCAGCUGCCUUCUGCAGUUCUCUAGUCUGAUAAAAAUGGGGACAGUCGUGCUUUUUUAUCCAACUCAAAACAGUGCCAUGACGGAUUAAUUAUUUGGAUGGCACUCGCAGUGCUAUCCAAAUGCUGCUUAUUCUUGUUUUCCCCACUGCAACAAUAUAUCUUCAUCACUAAUAAUUAACUGCUAAUUACGGUUGCUGAGACUAUGAUAGUGGUGUUUACCGCCUUAUUUUUAAUUUCAGGGUAGAUGCCUACUUAAAAGUUAUGUAAAUAUAUAAAAUUACAGUACAUUUUCCUAAUGACCCUGCUAUGUCUGAAUUUGAUCCUAUUCAAUGGUGACUGGAGUAAUAAAUAGUAAAGAUGACCUUUAUUCUGUAGAGCUAUACAGAUGGUUUCUAUUGUAUUCUCGACAGUUAAAUCAUGAAAUGUGAAGAAGCCAUUCUAAGCAGGAAACAGCUGGGUCGAAGGACUGCUGAUGCCAAUUAUGCUUCGUACAUAAUAAUGCACAUUUUACCUAUUUGGAAAAAAAUUCACAUUUAUUUACUGUCAAACAGGUGUUAAACUUUACACUGGGUAUUAGUGAUGGGCUCAUUAUUAACAGGUUUACACAAAGGGAUGAAAAAAGCAGAAUUUUUGUUGAAACAAUUUACAUUUCAUUAGGUUUUUAUCAUAAAAUAAAUUAAUUACUAAAUAUAGGCAGAAGGAAUAUGGAAGAGUAAUAGUUAUGUUUUAUUUAUUUGUUUUUUAAAGGACAGGCACCUUUUAUUCACGAGGAAGCUUGUGAGAAGUGUCCAGUGUCCCCUUUACCCCUUACCACCCAGCCCUGAUUAACGAAUGAACAGGGAAUGGAGUUACAAUCUUUGUUAGCUAUACCAAAUUUGUGCAAGGCUUGGCAUAAUUGGCGUCUAAAACAAUUUUCUCCCCAAAUUAUGUAGUUUGGCAAUAAAAAUUCAAAAAUUAAGAAUAAAAACUAACUUGUCAAAGCAGAACGCUGUUUACAGUGAAAAAUAAGUGAAAACGGGUAGAACUUCCAUUUUAAACAUACUACCGUACUAUGAACAGAGUGUAAGAAAAACAGCUUAUAACAUAUGUGCAACCAGGAGCUUUUCACAAUAUUUUCUUCAAACUCUUUAAAAUUAUUUUUAAUGACAAUUAUAUUUCAGUUGGACACAAACGUAUUUCUUUUACCCUAGCAAUAGAACAAAAUAUAAUUUCUGUAGCCAUUUUUUCAUGAGAACGGUUCAUUGUACAGUUGAGGAAAUAUAUGAAAUAAGGCCUGUGGCUUGAUUGCUAGUGGUUAGACAUGUGUUCAAUCUUUGCCCUAAUGGAAAAGAUUUGCAGUGAACUGCAAACUGAUGCAGAAUAUUUCUCCUGCCUUUGCAAGUCUUGUCAGGAAUAGUAAGGUACAGUAAAUUUGUCCCACAGGAUUUUAGAGCCUACGCCUUGUAUAUAAUACAAUGUAGGCCUAGAAAAAAAAUGGUGCAGCCAUAUUUACAAAUUUAGUUCACAAACUGCUGCAGUAAAAUGGCUGGAAAGUGUUUAUUUCUCUUUUUUUUCUUUUUCACAAUUUUGUUAAACUCAGCAGCAGAAGAUAUCUUAAAAUACCUUGUUGGUAUUUCUUUUCUUUGUAACAAAUAAUUCAUUUUAGUAUACUCUGUGUAUAUACAAAGUUUUUGUUUUAUAAAAAUUCACAGAACUGCGAGGUCCAGUCAUCCCUGUUACUGGAGAACCACAGGGUCAACAGAAUUGUCUCUUCGAGCAGAUAUGAGGGAGCCUGCGUGGGGCCAAUUAAGUCUUUUUAAUACUUGUACGUGGCCUUUAAUAUUUCUUUGCUACACUAUUAAAGGCUUGUCACUAGUUGCAUUUGUCCUUCUCUAACAUCCCCUUCAGGAAUACAUCCUUCCUUGUUAAUGGGAAUUAUAUAGCCGUCGCUAUUACCCCUGCUGAUUUGAUAGUACAUCUGAAGCUGAUGGCCAGCUCCCAGGUUUGGCAUGCUCUUGUAGUAAAUGUCCUCAUUUUCACUCCUCCUGGAGGGGGAGAGAUCUUCUUCAACGUCCGGGCUGCUCUCGGGGUAUGGAGAGUCUCUGAGGUUGGGCAUGCUUGUGUAGAGAGAGUCUCUGUUGGGGGACUGGAGGUGGUCGUCAGCCUCGGCUGUCAGCUGGGAGACGUAGCUGUCGGUUCCCUCGGUCUUCACUUUCUUCUGGGGCUGGUACAGAAGGGAGUGAGUCCGCUGAGGAAUGAGCGGGGCCUCAAGCUCUUUGUGGUGGAGCUCCAGCCCGGGGGUGUCGCUGUGCAUCAAAGAUGAGGCAUCUGCCACGAUGGCGUCAUCUUCGCUACUGCUCCCGCCGAUCACGGCUUUGGCUGGUAGCGUGCGCUCCAGGUUGUGGUUCUUGCUGCUGCCCCGCAGGUUGUUGUGCACUAAUUCUGAAAUGAUCAUUUUCUCAAAAGCAGUAUCAUUCAGGCUUAGUCCACAGUCUACGACUUGCACGCUGUCGUUAUAGUCUCCGUUGCGCAAUGAGUAGCUGUUGUUGAAAUUACCAUUUAGCGGUAGAGUAUCCAUGGCACUUGUAUCCCUGGCAUUGUUCAGUGAAUGUCCUGGAAU